CCAAUUUUAUUUGCGGUUCGAAUUAGAUUCUCGUCAAUUUUCAAUUUCCUCUCU
Molecule: non-coding RNA, 54 nt
Organism: Caenorhabditis elegans
Lineage: Eukaryota; Metazoa; Nematoda; Chromadorea; Rhabditida; Rhabditidae
Source: Ensembl